GGAAGCGCAUCUUUUGAGUUUCAAUGAAACCUAUCUCCUUCUCGCUGCUUCCCUUUUGUUGCUGGUGUUCCCCUCUCUUCUUGCUGCUCCCGCGCGCUACUCUUCUUCUCCAUCUUCUCUGCUCUGCCCACUCUUCACUUGGUCUUCAAUUCACAGUUAAACACUCGCACCAGUCUCGCAAUCAUCUCCACUGCACCGGCGACGACCCCGACAAUGACUUCAAUUGAGUUCAAUUUGGGGGUUUUCUUGUAUUGCAGUGCAGAAUAUUGCAGCACAGGAAAAAAGUUGAGUGUGGGAGUGAUCUCACCAUACAUGGAUCAAGUUGGUUUGAUUCAAGAAAGAAUUGGUAGCCAAAGUGUGAAUUACAUACAAGGAUAUUGGUUUCUCAGUGAGUGUUCGUUCUGUUGAUGGAUUUCAAGAAAGGGGAGGAGGAUAUAAUUAUAAUCUCAUGUGUUCGAAGCAAUGGUAACGGAUCAGUUGACUUCCUAUCCAAUCAUCAAUGGACAAAUGUAGCCCUAACGGGAGCAUGGGAAUGGUACCACAUUAAUCAAAAGUGGAUCUAUGUGGAAGGAGCUUGUGACCGAUGCAAAAAUACGAAGGUGUUUCUACAGUGCAGAUGAGGAUAAAUAUCUUGAAUUCUUGAUAGAGCAAUGACAGCAGUAGUGCCCGAGACUGAAGUCGAUCUUGCAGAGUCUUUGUCAAGAAAGUGGAAACAUUGCUAUUGUUAAAUAUAGCCCCCUUUACAUAGAGUUAUAUACAAAUAAUAUUGGAGAGCUUACCAUCUUUGGAAAUAAAUUCCAGUGGAGUCCACACUCAGCAAGCUGCAAGAUUGCAAGAGCUUGUGGAACUUAUUCAGUCUCAGGUUUUCAAAACUCCAGGGGAGGAGCCCUUUACCAAAAAGGAGUUGGAUGAGGUUCGAGACAAGUGGGCUAUUUACUUCAACGAUUGUGAACUACCCUCAGUGUAAUAAAUAGAGCAGAUUUGUAGUUAUUCGUGACUCUUACAUUAUUUUAUUAUUUAUCGAUUUAAUUAAUUACAUUUGAAUUAAUUCGGUAAUAUUAUUGGAAAUUUGAAAUUUAUAUCAUUUUUGAGAA
This is a long non-coding RNA of Spinacia oleracea (spinach), 1094 nucleotides long. RefSeq lists it as uncharacterized. The transcript is spliced from 5 exons. NCBI's taxonomy places the organism in Eukaryota, Viridiplantae, Streptophyta, Magnoliopsida, Caryophyllales, Amaranthaceae. The record is from RefSeq and is a predicted model, not a curated record.